UGUGGUGCCUGCGGAGAGUUCAACAACUGAACCUAGUCUAGUAAUGUUGGGCCCUGCAGCCUGGCUGUUCUCUUGCCAAAUAGACCAACCAAUCGCAGCGGAGCAUGCGCACUACUGGGUUCCUUGCAGCACCACAAGAUGGCGCUCGCCUCCGUGCCGCCGGCCGCGCAGGGGAAAGAAACACUUUUCAAGAGAACCAGAAAGCUCACCUUCACCCAUCUACGGGUGCAUGGAACCCCGGGUGGUGAAGCGCCGUCUCGGCACAUGGUAGGCGAAGAACUGCGAGCGAAGUAUGGCUUCAGCUGCAAAACGUCCACGACGUCAACAGGUGGCGGACUUGAGGAUGGAUGAAACUGUAACGGCGCAAUCUCGUAAUUGACGUCGUUGACCUAGGACUUCAUAAGGCCCUGUGUAGCGAGAGAGAAGCUUCUGGGAGAGGCCAACCCGACGACAUGGUGACCAAAGCAGCAUCCAAGCACCUGGGGCGAACUGAACAUGGUCAUGGCACUGGUUGUAAUGCUCUUUUUGCAGAUGCUGCGAGGCUAAUAAGCAAGAUCGGGUGACUUGACGCACCAUGUGAGCGCGAUCGAUGACUUCACAAGCGUACUCAGUGGCAAUGCGAGGCACAGAAGGUAGGGUGGUGUCAAAGGGCAAAGUGGGGUUGCGACCAUACAAAAGAUAAAAGGGUGAACAUCCUGAGGUGUCAUGUCGGGACGAGUUAUACGCGAAUGUCACGUAGGCCAGCGUGGCAUCCCAGUCAUGGUGAUCAUUGGAAACCUACAUCGACAGCAUCUCUGUGAGUGUUCAGUUGAGACGUUCCGUAACACUGUUCGUUUGUGGGUGGUAGCUGGUGGACAGCUUGUACUCAGUGGCACAAGAGCGGAGGAGGUCGUUCACAACUCAAGACAAGAACAAGCGGCCAUGGUCUGUAAGUAACUGUCGAGGUGCACCGUGCUGGAGGAUGACGUUGUGAAGGAGAAAAUCGGCGACGCCAGUUGCGCAACUAGUCGGCAACGCCUUUGUUAUCGCGUAGUGUGUCGCGUAAUCAGUAGCGACAGCAAUCCACUUAUUCCCUCUAGUCGUCGUCGGAAAAGGGCCAAGCAGGCCAAGGCCUACGUGAAAGAAUGGUUCAGAGGGAACUUCAAUUGGAUGGAUUCGGCUGACAGGUGCCAGGGAAGGUUUCUUCAGGCGCUGACACAAUUCGCAAAUUGUGACAUAACGACGCACAGAGCGGUAGAGACCCGGCCAGAAGAACUGGCGUCACAUGCGGUCAUAUGUACGCAAAACUCCAAGGUGUCCCGCCAUCGGUGCAUCGUGAAAUUGUUCGAGAACGACGGAUAGCAGAUGAUGCCACCCAACCCGUCAGGGUUGGUUGGCGGUAGAGGAUCCCAUCAUGCAGCACGAACAUGCGGCACAUGCCAUCAGUGCUGCCAGAUUGCACUCCGACGAUGAUCGACUGUAAGGAUGCAUCGCGUUGUUGUUCAGCGCGCAUGUCGGUCAUGUCCACCAAGGCCAUCAUGGUCACCGGAUCAUGCACAGCAGGAUCGAGAGGAUCCACGGGGUGAUGCGAGAGACAGUCAGCAUCCUUGUGCAGAUGUCCAGACUUUUAGUUGACAACAAAAAAAAAUUUCUGGAGCUGCAAAGCCCAGCGACCAAGCCGUCCUGUGGGGUCCCGGAGGGAAGACAGCCAGCAGAGGGCGUGGUGGUCUGUGAUGACCGAAAACGUGCAGAUGUACAAAUAUGGCCAGAAUUUGGCGACAGCCCAACUUCGGACUUCGGUCGGUGCAGAUGGAUGAAAGUGGGUAAGUAUGGGAAGGGUGGUCAGAAAUCUUAUGAGAGUGGCGAACGUGUGAGCUUGCUCAGGGCCCCCAAGAGAAUGGCGUGUUCUUCUUUAGAAGAUCUGUCAAAGGCCUAGCAACGUCAGCGAAGUUUUUGACGAAACGGCGAAAGUAAGAACACAGGCCGACGAAGCAGCGCACGUCAGAAGCAGAACGUGGCACAGGGAAACUGCGUACGGCGCGAACUUUUUUCGGAUCUGGUUGGACACCGGAUGCGUCAACGAGGUGUCCCAACACGGUAAGCUGACGUCGCCCAAACUGACACUUCAUGGAGUUCAGUUGGAGGCCAGCUUUUCGGAAGACCGCAAGAAUGGCAGAGAGUUAGGUAAGGUGGCUGCCGAACGUGGGAGAAAAAACAAUAACGUCGUCAAAGUAACAGAGACAGGUGGCCCAUUUGUAGCCUCGCAGAAGAGAGUCCAUCAUACGUAUAAAUGUCGCAGGAGCAUUGCAUAGUUCAAAGGGCAUGACUUUGAACUGAUAUAAGCCAUCCGGCAUGAUGAAGGCCGUUUUCUCGCGGUCCAUUUCAUCAACUGAAAUCUGCCAGUAGCCGGAUCGAAGAUAGAUAGACAAGAAGCAUGUAGCUCCGUUCAAGCAGUCCAAGGCGUCAUCGAUGCAUGGUAGUGGGUAGACGUCUUUUCGGGUGAUCUUGUUUAAAUGGCGAUAACCGAAGCAAAAAUGCCAGGUACCAUCUUUCUUUCUUUCAAGGACGACAGGCGAAGCCCAAGGACUGGCUGAUGGCUUGAUGACCCCUUCGGGGAGCAUUUUGUCCACUUCUGAUUGGAUGACUCGAUGUUCAGCAUGCGAUACACGAUAGGGACACUGACGAAUAGGAUUCGUGUCUCCAGUGUUUAUACGGUGCUGAACAACAGAUGUUUGGCCUAAAGGCCUGUCGCCGAAAUCAAAGAUGUCACUAUAAGAUUCAAGCAGGAGAUGUAUGUUCAUGGCCUGUGCAGAGGUGAGGUCAGGUGCAAUCAUUUUCGCGAAGUCAUCUGUUAAGAAAGCAGAGCUGCGAGCUGCAAUUGGCAUUAAUAAACCACUCUCGGCAUUCAGAGUCUCAAUGUCAAAUUCGGAACCACUAGAAACACUGGCCAAGAACAUGCCAGCCGGAAUCAGUUGAGGGCACAGGCUGAAAUUUAGAAGCGAUAGAAUGACGUCGUUACUAGUAACCGUGACCAGCAUACGCGGAACAGCAACGUUCCGGUUCAAAAGCACGUCGAUGAUGGGGCGAAGCACACAUUCACUGUCAGGAACCUGUGGCUGGGCGGUGACGUAAGUAACUGCCUCGGGUGACAGACGAACAUCGUGAAGCGAGCACAAGUGCGGUGGGGCGGUGCUCGGAGCAUCGGCGAGUUGAGGCAGUUCUAACUGGAGAACGCCGGUCGCGCAGUCGAUGAGAGCAGAAUGAUUCGAUAAAAGUCCAAUCCAAGGAUAACGUCGUGAGGGCAGUUAUCGAUCACAGCAAUGAAAACAGAAGUAGGGCAACCGGCUAUACUUAAACGCGCAGUACACAUUCCAAGAACAACCAGCAUGCCGCCGUUGGCCACACGAAGCACUCGGGCAGCUGCUGGCAUGAGGACCUUUUUCAAAUGUCUACGCAGGCUAGCACUCAUCACAGAUACGUGGGCUCCAGUGUCGAUGAGUGCUUGCACAGGUACGCUAUCUAUUUCAACGUCAAUUAUACUUCUCAUUGUGGACACAGACAGAGGAUUUGCUGCAGUAGUCGGCAAUGCAGCACCACCUCCAAGGGCUGCAUUUCCUAGUUUUCGAAAGGGUGCGGCCAAAAGCCACAGGGGACGAAAGGCAACGUGGCUGUGGCGAACGAGAAGAUGGGCGACGUGUUUGCGGUGAACGAGACUGGUAGGUGAGCGGCUGUACCACAUGUUCCGAGUAGAGUUGUCGGCGCUGUUAGACCGCGGUGGGCGAAACAUUGCGGGCAUUUCCCUCAAUACGGCUAAUACCCCUGACACAUGGGCAAAGCUAAAGUCCUUUCCAGUAAACCCCUUUUGCUACUCUGAAGGACCCUUUGCAGAAAGGAGUUGCGCCGAUGACACACGGCACCGCACUGAACUUAUUUAGAUAGUUCCACAGAUGAACGCCGCAAGAAAAAUAGCGCUGGCUGUUAAAGCCACAAGAGAGACAACAUUCUUAAAAAGCUGCGUAUUUAAUUACACUUAGCUACUGUAGAACCUAAAAAUAUAUUUUUUUCAUUGUUGAUGGCUAAUAAUGCUUAUAGUCGUUUAUUUUAUUCGCGUUUUUGCAUUGUUAGCAGCCAUUUAACUUGGUCCAGCAACUAUGUGCAGCCGGUGUUUUGCUGUGCGUGCUGUUUAUUCUGGUGAUGCCCACGUUUCUGUCGUCCUUUUUCACGUCUUUGUCCUCCCUUCCGUUGUGCGCGCAGGCGUAACGCGUUUUAUUCAAUAUGUUAUUCCAACAACUGUGGUUUCUUCUGGGUAUUUCCUGCGGGCGCUGAUUGUGCAGUCUCCAUCUCGCGACGUGAACACACCACAUGCGCGCAGCAAACGACGACGACACUGCCGGAAUUCAACAUGGCGGCACUAGCGACGUUAUGCGAGCGUUUGAGAGUAUAGCUAGAGGAAAUCUUCACUAUUCGACAAAUUGUAUUACCGCUAACAAUUAAAACAUUUUCGCAAGGUAAAAAAAAUACCUAUGGGCACCGUAGUUGUGUGGCAGGUUUCCUUCUAUUGACGAGUUGUGCACGCUGUGUGCGAGAGUAACUCCUUUUCCACUCGAAAAGUAGUUGCGCGAUCUCCUUUCCCGAAAAAGAACUUUGCCGUAAAGGAGAUACUCCUUUGUCGUGUGUCACUGCACUUGAACGCCUUUCCGGUAGAUGUCCCCUUACCUAAAGGACUUUAGAGUGCCCGUGUGUCAGGGGUAUAAGGUUGGUCGGUGUGCGAGGUGUUGAGGGCUACGAGUUGCAACAGUAUCGGGCGACAUGACCAAUACGGCGACAGGUGAAACAUAUUGGCUGGUCAUCCGCAGUUCUCCACUCAGUCGGGUUGCGAUAACGCGGAGAGAAGCGUCGGGGUGGAGCGAAAAUAGCAGAAAGGCGUUCGUUAGCUCUGGGAUUGGCAACUGCACACACAGAAUGCAAACCAAUGUUUUCAAGUUCCUGGCGAAUGAUGGCUUGUACGAGGGGAACUGAAAAUGUGGUACCAUCAGGGCUAUGUGAACAGAAAGCUGCAGGCGCCAUCGUAUCCAGUUCUUGUCGAACGAUUCGCACCACGUCCUCUGAUGGCGACGCAUGCUGCUGUGCGGGUUGAUCUUCACAUGUCGACGUUGCGGCAGUAUUGGGAACUCUGGUGAAUGGUUGCAAGACGCGUCGGCUUUUGGCCUGCUCGAAUUGUUGGCACUCUUUAAUGAUUGCAUCAACUGUAGAACAGCUUUUGCACAUGAGCUGAUUAAACGCGUCAUCAGCAAUGCCCUUAAGCACGUGCCCGACCUUCUCAGCUUCUGUCAUGUCGUGAUCGGCUUUACGACAAAGUACCAGCACGUCCUGGAUGUACGAAACAUAGGACUCCGUGGGGUAUUGGACACGGGAGGCCAGUUCCUGCUUUGCGGCAAUUUUACGGCCGGCUGGUUUGCCAAACAACUCUGUCAAUUUCUCUUUGCAUUGGUCCCAGCUGGUUAGCUCCUCUUCGUGGUUUUCGUACCACACCUUUGCCGUGCCUCUUAGGUAGAAUAACAGGUUAGCUAGCAUAAGCGUAGGAUCCUAUCUGUUGAUUUCACUCAUGCAUUCGUACAUGGCCACCCACUCUUCAACGUUGGUGCCAUCGGUCCCGCAGAAAGGUCCAGGAUCCUUGGGUUGCACAACGACAACCGUAGGCGACAGUGACGUAGUAUGCGAUGGUUACAUAGGAGGCGGAAACGACGUUGAUCCCGAUUGCUCACCGUCAUUCAUGGUGCGAAUGGUGAUGCGACGUCCACUACGGAGCUCCGUUUACAGCCGUGGUACCCCGAACCUCCCACCAAUAUGUUACAGGGAUGUUGGGAGUAUAGGAGAUUGUAUUUAUGAUAUAUAUAUAUAUACAAGAUGAGUCAUAAGAUGGCUGACCACCAACAACACGCAGGAGCCAGCAUCCUGCGAUCUUCUUCCUCUUUCUUCUUUCAUUCAUUUGUAACGAUAUAUAUAUAUAGUGAACUCCUGAACAACACUCAGCAAUCUGGUGAACAUGGUUUAAAUCAUGGAUGCAGGACCUCAAAGAGGUGAGACAUAAUGCACCAUAACAUAUUUCUCUUGCAUUUACUGCUAAAUUGGCACUGAACUUUUUUCUUACAGUUGCAGUUUCAGGUUAAACUUGUUAUGAAGUGCUUGCAUGUAUUAGUGUGUGAAUCUAACAUACAGUAGACUUCCAUUAAUUCGAUCCACAUCCUGUGCAUUUAUAUGGGCCUAAGCUUUCGUUAUUUCGAUCUCGAAAUUGCUUUACCAGAUAAUCUGAACUUGGCCAGUCAGCACUACAUAGAUUUUCGAGCAAUAACCGUAGCUCAUAAUGUCUAAUUACAGUAGUUAUCCAACCCUAAUGCGUGUAUUUCAUUUCAUUUUUUUCAAGAAGAUUGGACCAAAACUUGACUGCACAAUGUAAUAGGAUCGCCUUUGUGGCAUUUGUAUAACUUACCGAACAGCACUGUAGCGCAGCAAAGCUGACUUCAAAAUAUUGUGCAGCAAAGCUGACUUUAGGGUUCCGGCCGCCAAUGUGCACCUUGCCCAUUUUUCUUGCUAAAAAUCUGGUACGAGUUAGAUUUCUACUUUGUUUCGGAGCUUUAAUUUUAUUUCUACAUUAGUUUUCUGCUUUGGACACAUAAAGUGGGUGCUCGUUUGCUUAGGGGGCGUGUUAGAUUCGGGCAAAUGAAUCAGCGGUGCAUUUUGGCUUUUUUUUCUGCAUCUUGUUUAAUCUGACCCACUAAAUAAUUAGAUCAAUUUCAUCGGUCCCAUCAGGGUAAAAUUAACGGAAGUUGACUCUAUUAAAUUCCUUUUCUUCUACUGA
Long non-coding RNA from Dermacentor andersoni, 6838 nucleotides. RefSeq lists it as uncharacterized. Lineage: Eukaryota; Metazoa; Arthropoda; Arachnida; Ixodida; Ixodidae. The record is from RefSeq and is a predicted model, not a curated record.